Long non-coding RNA from Herpailurus yagouaroundi (jaguarundi), 2134 nucleotides. RefSeq lists it as uncharacterized. Lineage: Eukaryota; Metazoa; Chordata; Mammalia; Carnivora; Felidae. The record is from RefSeq and is a predicted model, not a curated record. The transcript is spliced from 5 exons.
CCUCCGCUGUCACCGAGCCCCGCGCCCGGCGCCAGGGCUCCCACUGUCAAUCCGCACCCACUUCCCGCCGCGCCCGGCAGAGGGCAGCACACGCCCCCCGCGGUCCCGCCCCGCCCUGCUCCGCCCCUCGAGGGCCUACCGCGGUGCCCGCGGGGAAAUGUAGUCCCUCCCGUCGGUUCUGCCAGGGACGCCGGGAUUUGUAGUCCCACUCUGCGGGCCCUGGCCUGGGUACGGGGGACUUGGCAUUUAACUUGGAACUUAUGUCGCACUUCGUUUCUGCCCCUUUUGCAAGUUUUUUUCUCUUCUCAGUCAGUGAUGCCACGCACUCCAGCUCCCUAUGUACACCCUGUGGCCUCUCUGACCCCAAGGAGAGGCCUGCAGGAGGCUGUCUUGCCUGGAGUCUAGGAAGGAUAUAGGGUCCCAGAUAGUGUGCUGUUGCUAUAGAAACUACUGCAUGGCAAACCUCAGUUUCCCUCAUGUUUGGGAGUGGAAUGCCAGACUUGGAUCUCGUGCUUUCACCCCUGCACCUGAACAUAAGGGACAAGGCUGGGGUCAGGCUGAUCAAGGACAGCAUGGAAACAUAUGUCCAAGGAGCCUCCCUCCCUCCCAUUGUGAGUUUUCCAAUUAUACCCCUCCUCAAGCCUCAUCAGUCCUACCUGGCUGGUGACCCCCACCACCAUGCUACAGGGAAACAUUUUUCAGAUCUGCUUCAUAUUAUUCCCCUGUUGGAAGUUACAUAGCUCUGAGCUACCCUUCUCUGCUUUCCCCACUUCCUCCUCUGCCCAGUACCACGUAGCCCCAGAUCUGUGGGUCUUUGGCGGGUGGCUCCUAAGGAGAACAGGAAUGAAAUCUAGAGGGAGAAAACAUCUCUUGUUCACUUCGUUACAACAAAUGGGCUUGAUUCCCCGGUGAUUCCAAGUAGCUAUUGCUCUUGUCCACAAUUAAGGGCCAGCCCUUCUUCAAACAGACCCUUGGGGCAUAAGGGUCUAGGUGUAAAUAUGAUCAGUUUCACUCAACCCAGACCUUCUGACGCCCUCUUGGAAACAGGUUCUGGUAGCAUCACCCUCCUCCCGGAAGGACCCAUGAUUGCCACGAGUGCACACAGGCAUCCAGCAUCUCUCAGAAAUUCCCAGUGCAAACCUGAUCACAGAGACAAGCUGUGAAGAGACUCCAAGCUCUGAGCGGUAGAGGGACCAUUCCCCGAGCCCUACCUCAUGCCCCAUCCCUCUUAGAAUCUCAGUAACCCUCCUCCCCCCUCCCACCCCUGGCCACCACAAACCUCCUAGCCGCUCAGGGAGAACAUGGUCCAGUAGAGGCAAAUCUAGGCCUGACUCCCACUCUUCCCCCCCCAAUCUUGUGAUAGGAGCUGCCUUACAGGCCACAACUGCCCUCUAAAAACAACACGCUGGCCAACAUGGAAAAGAACUAUUUAUUAUGAGAGAAAACCCAAAAUCUAGAAAAAGAAGGCUGAGUCCAGAGAAGAAGCACACAGAGAAGCUUGGGGUGGGGGAUCUAGAGGAAGAAGGGAGCCCAGGCGUCCAGGCACUCAGUCUAGGCGGCAACGGCAAAGCCCACCCUCUUGUUGCCAAUGUCGAAGAUGGAAUAGUAGGACCUGAGGAAGACGUCCCCGAGGAUCCACAGGGGCUGGCCACUGCUAGAGGGCAGCCUCGUGCCCGAGAAGGGGUUUGGAAUCGGUGGGUGGACAACGUGAGGCAGCAUUGCCAGGAGCUGGGAAAUGGCACGUGGUGAGGAGACCCAACGCUUCCGGCUCCCAGCCCCUCCUCACACCCCGUCACAUCCCUGCAGACUUACUCUGAAGAGCAUCUCCAUCUGACCUCCCAUGAGACGGUGAGGUCUGUGAGGUUCCAACCCGGCUCAGAGCCCCAGGGACAGUCCCCACGUCCCGGGGCAGGGAGCAGCCUGCCACGUGGCUCACCCUUAGAGUGUCAUAGCCGUAGAUGCCGCGGAGGCCGCCACUGCCGUAUCGCACGGAGAAGAUCUGCCCGUUGCUGGAGGAGACUCUCAAUGAGAACUUCGUGAAGAGUGGAGAGAGUGGAAGAGAAAGAAUGUUGUAGAUGCUGGUGGGAGGGAAUGGCCUUAUCUGCAGUGAACAGAAUGGAGCAGAGAGAAGUGG